This 253-nucleotide ribosomal RNA is filed under the name uncultured bacterium. RNAcentral's name for it is "partial 16S ribosomal RNA". It matches the Rfam family "Bacterial small subunit ribosomal RNA", at positions 524 to 776 of the family's 1533-position model. The record is from RNAcentral.
UACGAAGGGGGCUAGCGUUGCUCGGAAUUACUGGGCGUAAAGCGCACGUAGGCGGCUUUCUAAGUCGGAGGUGAAAUCCUGGAGCUCAACUCCAGAACUGCCUUUGAUACUGAAAGUCUUGAGUAUGGGAGAGGUGAGUGGAACUGCGAGUGUAGAGGUGAAAUUCGUAGAUAUUCGCAAGAACACCAGUGGCGAAGGCGGCUCACUGGCCCAUUACUGACGCUGAGGCACGAAAGCGUGGGGAGCAAACAGG